GACGAACGCUGGCGGCGUGCUUAACACAUGCAAGUCGAACGGAAAGGCCCUGCUUUUGUGGGGUGCUCGAGUGGCGAACGGGUGAGUAACACGUGAGUAACCUGCCCUUGACUUUGGGAUAACUUCAGGAAACUGGGGCUAAUACCGGAUAGGAGCUCCUGCUGCAUGGUGGGGGUUGGAAAGUUUCGGCGGUUGGGUAUGGACUCGCGGCUUAUCAGCUUGUUGGUGGGGUAGUGGCUUACCAAGGCUUUGACGGGUAGCCGGCCUGAGAGGGUGACCGGCAACAUUGGGACUGAGAUACGGCCCAGACUCCUACGGGAGGCAGCAGUGGGGAAUAUUGCACAAUGGGCGGAAGCCUGAUGCAGCAACGCCGCGUGCGGGAUGACGGCCUUCGGGUUGUAAACCGCUUGCGCCUGUGACGAAGCGUGAGUGACGGUAAUGGGUAAAGAAGCACCGGCUAACUACGUG
This 468-nucleotide ribosomal RNA is filed under the name uncultured bacterium. Its description in RNAcentral is "partial 16S ribosomal RNA". It matches the Rfam family "Bacterial small subunit ribosomal RNA", at positions 28 to 507 of the family's 1533-position model. The record is from RNAcentral.